CCGGAGAGGCAGCCUGAGAGACGGCUACCACGUCCAAGGACGGCAGCAGGCACGCAAAUUACCCAAUCCCAGCAACUGGGGGAGGUAGUGACGAAAUCUAACGAUGCGGGCGCCCUUUUUGGGGCCCCGCAAUCGGAAUGAGCACUUUCUAAACAACCUGUUGAGAACCUACUGAAGGGCAAGUCUGGUGCCAGCAGCCGCGGUAAUUCCAGCUUCAGCAGCAUCUAUUAAAGUUGCUGCGGUUAAAAGGCUCGCAGUUGAAUGUCAGUAUCGAGCGCAGGUCAGGUGGACGCUGGGGCGUGGGAACACAAGGCGCGGCACGGGCCGCGAGCCUUGCCUCGUGCAGGCGCGCGGUACCGGCCGUGUCUCUCACAUACCCCCGUCCGUUACAAGCCUCCUCGCUCGCGUACAUAUCGGAAUUGGUCAAACGGAGUGUGCGCAGUCCCUCUCCCCCCUCUCGUCCUCGGGCCGCGCGCGUGUUCGCGCGCGCGCGUGUCUGUUGGCGGGAGGGCGUGUGUGCGGGGGCUCGCACGUUAAGCUCCUUCGGUUUCAUGGUCACCUUGAGUAAAUCAGAGUGCUCAAAGCAGUCGUAGGGGCCUUGCGCCCUGUGAACAGUCUUGACGGACUGACUUGGUUUUGCAUGGCAUGUCGGAAGACGACGUCGUGUGCUGGCUCAGAGAUUAUAUAUCAGUGGUGCAAGCCAGCCUCGACGUACUGAUUAACAGGGACGGUCGAGGGCAUUGGUAUUGCGAGGCGAGAGGUGAAAUUCUAUGACCCCCGCAAGACCUCCUGAAGCGAAAGCGUCUGCCAAGGACGUUUUCAUUAAUCAUGAACGAAAGUUAGAGGAUNNNNNNNNNNNNNNNNNNNNNNNNNNNNNNNNNNNNNNNNNUGCCAACCAUCAAUCCGCGCGUAGCUCCCAUCUUAACGGGCUCGGCGGGCAGCUCCCCACUCACGGGAAACCAGAGUCUUUGGGUUCCGGGGGGAGUCUGGUUGCAAAGCUGAAACUUAAAGGAAUUGACGGAAAGGCACCACCAGGCGUGGAGCCUGCGGCUUAAUUUGACUCAACACGGGCCAUCUCACCAGGCCAGCACUCUUGUACGAUUGACAGAUUGAGAGCUCUUUCUCGAUUCAGUGGAUGGUGGUGCAUGGCCGUUCUUAGUUGGUGGAGUGAUCUGUCUGGUUAAUUCCGAUAACGAACGAGACUCUCCCCUGCUAACUAGUCGGCUGGAUCUUUAUCGGUGAGUUGUGUGCCGAGAACACCUGGGUGCGCGGGCGCGUGGGGUUGCUGCGGUUUUACCAAGGCGCUCCCGUGGUUCGUGCCUCGGGCCUCGGGCCACACACUCCAAGUCCGCCGCUUAUUGUAUAACUCUUCUUAGAGGGAUUCACGGUUCUGAAGCCGUCAGAGACUGAGAGCAAUAACAGGUCUGUGAUGCCCUUAGAUGCUCUGGGCCGCACGCGCGCUACAAUGCCGGGCACAGCAGGUGUUUCUCCUGCUCCGACAGGAGCAGGUAACCCUCUGAAAGCCACUGUUUUUGUCGUGUCUGACACGAAAGGCGUGCUUGGGCCUGGGGCUUGCAAUUCUUUCCCACCAACGAGGAAUGCCUAGUAGCGGCGGGUCACUGAGCCCGCUGUGACUCAGUCCCUGCCCUUUGUACACACCGCCCGUCGCUACUACCGAUUGGGUGUACCAGUGAGAGCCUUGGACUGGCGUCCGUUGCCUUCGGGCAAGCGGGUCCGACGGAAAGAGGUCCGAACUGGUGCACUUAGAGGAAGUAAAAGUCGUAACAAG
Molecule: ribosomal RNA, 1789 nt
Filed under: Niphargus wexfordensis
Lineage: Eukaryota; Metazoa; Arthropoda; Malacostraca; Amphipoda; Niphargidae
Description: partial 18S ribosomal RNA
Rfam family: Eukaryotic small subunit ribosomal RNA
Source: RNAcentral